Molecule: ribosomal RNA, 752 nt
Filed under: uncultured marine bacterium
Lineage: Bacteria
Description: bacterial SSU rRNA
Rfam family: Bacterial small subunit ribosomal RNA
Source: RNAcentral
AGUGGCAGACGGGUGAGUAACAUGUAGGUAUCUUCCCUUUGGUGAGGAAUAACACGAGGAAACUUGUGCUAAUACCUCAUAAGUCUUUACGGAGAAAGCUUUAUGCGCCAAUGGAUGAGCCUGCACUUGAUUAGUUUGUUGGUAGGGUAAUGGCCUACCAAGACAAUGAUCAAUAGCUGAUUUGAGAGGAUGAUCAGCCACAUUGGGACUGAGACACGGCCCAAACUCCUACGGGAGGCAGCAGUAGGGAAUCUUGCACAAUGGGGGAAACCCUGAUGCAGCGAUGCCGCGUGAGUGAAGAAGGCCUUUGGGUUGUAAAGCUCUUUCGUCGGGGAAGAAAAUGACUGUACCCGAAUAAGAAGGUCCGGCUAACUUCGUGCCAGCAGCCGCGGUAAUACGAAGGGACCUAGCGUAGUUCGGAAUUACUGGGCUUAAAGAGUUCGUAGGUGGUUAAAAAAGUUGGUGGUGAAAUCCCAGAGCUUAACUCUGGAACUGCCAUCAAAACUUUUUAGCUAGAGUAUGAUAGAGGAAAGCAGAAUUUCUAGUGUAGAGGUGAAAUUCGUAGAUAUUAGAAAGAAUACCAAUUGCGAAGGCAGCUUUCUGGAUCAUUACUGACACUGAGGAACGAAAGCAUGGGUAGCGAAGAGGAUUAGAUACCCUCGUAGUCCAUGCCGUAAACGAUGUGUGUUAGACGUUGGAAAUUUAUUUUCUGUGUCGCAGCGAAAGCAAUAGACACACCGCCUGGGGAGUAC